This 29-nucleotide non-coding RNA is filed under the name Mus musculus (house mouse). Lineage: Eukaryota; Metazoa; Chordata; Mammalia; Rodentia; Muridae. The record is from RNAcentral.
UAAUAUAGACUUCGCCGCUACACACCUCC